Drosophila mojavensis is the source of this 852-nucleotide long non-coding RNA. RefSeq lists it as uncharacterized. Lineage: Eukaryota; Metazoa; Arthropoda; Insecta; Diptera; Drosophilidae. The record is from RefSeq and is a predicted model, not a curated record. The transcript has 2 exons.
UAUGAAUUAAAAUAAAUCAAAUUCGAACGGAGUCAACAAACGAACAUGCGCACACGUUGACACGACCGACCGUUCAGCGCGGAAAUGUAAAAGUAGCUAAAAGCAAAGCGAAUGCCAAGCACACAACAAAAUUCAUUACGAGCUGGGGCGUUCGCUCGCUCUGUUGGGUUGACGCUGUUGCUGUUGCUGGCGCUGCUGCGAGCAGCCGACUAAAAUUCAUAAUCAAGUUGAAAGCGGUUCAAACCGCAAGCAAGGUGCAAACCGAGUGGCACGCACACACCAACAACAACCAACGCUAACUGUAAUUUCGGCUAACAGCGCGCGCAGCUGCUUACAACGAUAACAACAACAACAGCAACAACAUACAAGCCUGUUGUGCUUAGCAACGACACAAUGGUCCCAAACCAGGGCUGCAUCAAGCAACAUGCUGGAGCCAUGUGACGAGUGAGCACACAUUCGCCACUUGCAAAUCCAACCAGAACCAAUUUGAAUCGUUCAUCAACGAGCGAAUGCCGAUGGGAAAGCAGCAGGCGGCAAUAAAUACAAACGAAAAACGUAAACGUGUCAAAACACAGAAAAUGCUGCAGCAGAGAUGCGCAACAGAACGGUUACAGACUUUUAUAUAGGAUAUGUAGCCGAAUGAUAUAAACAAAAACAGCAAGAGAAUUGAUGAUGAUAACAUAUUAAAAAGUAAAAAUACUUAGUAAAAUUGAAAAAUAAAGAACACAAGAUGAAGGAACCUAUUCAAAUCAGCUAUAAAAAUUUUGAAACACUGAAUCUUUUACUUUCUCUUGAGCUAAGAAAAAUUAUUGUAAAAAUUUUUAAAUUAAUUGAAGAGCAAUAUUAAUUACC